CAGUCGCCGCGGUAAUACAGAGGAUGCAAGCGUUAUCCGGAAUGAUUGGGCGUAAAGCGUCUGUAGGUGGCUUUUCAAGUCCGCCGUCAAAUCCCAGGGCUCAACCCUGGACAGGCGGUGGAAACUACCAAGCUGGAGUACGGUAGGGGCAGAGGGAAUUUCCGGUGGAGCGGUGAAAUGCGUAGAUAUCGGAAGGAACACCUGUGGCGAAAGCGGCUCACUGGACCAUUUCUGACGCUGAUGCACGAAAGCUAGGGGAGCAAACAGGAUUAGAUACCCCAGUAGUCCCUGUCUCUUAUAC
RNAcentral lists this ribosomal RNA (301 nucleotides) under uncultured bacterium. Its description in RNAcentral is "partial 16S ribosomal RNA". It matches the Rfam family "Bacterial small subunit ribosomal RNA", at positions 509 to 807 of the family's 1533-position model. The record is from RNAcentral.